UGGGGAAUAUUGGGCAAUGGGCGAAAGCCUGACCCAGCCACGCCGCGUGAGUGAUGAAGGCCUUCGGGUCGUAAAGCUCUGUGGGGAGGGACGAACAAACUCUGGGCUAAUCACCAGGGUCCUGACGGUACCUCCUUAGCAAGCACCGGCUAACCCUGUGCCAGCAGCCGCGGUAAUACAGGGGGUGCAAACGUUGCUCGGAAUCAUUGGGCGUAAAGCGCACGUAGGCGGUCUGUUAUGUCGGAUGUGAAAGCCCUUGGCUCAACUGAGGAAGUGCAUCCGAAACUGGCAGGCUAGAGUACGUAAGAGGGUCGCGGAAUUCCCGGUGUAGAGGUGAAAUUCGUAGAUAUCGGGAGGAACACCGGUGGCGAAGGCGGCGACCUGGGACGAUACUGACGCUGAGGUGCGAAAGCGUGGGGAGCAAACA
RNAcentral lists this ribosomal RNA (427 nucleotides) under uncultured Haliangium sp. RNAcentral describes it as "bacterial SSU rRNA". It matches the Rfam family "Bacterial small subunit ribosomal RNA", at positions 355 to 774 of the family's 1533-position model. Lineage: Bacteria; Pseudomonadati; Myxococcota; Haliangiales; Kofleriaceae. The record is from RNAcentral.